Molecule: small nuclear RNA, 107 nt
Organism: Jaculus jaculus (lesser Egyptian jerboa)
Lineage: Eukaryota; Metazoa; Chordata; Mammalia; Rodentia; Dipodidae
Source: RefSeq, a predicted model, not a curated record
GUGCUCAUUUUGGCAGCACAUAUACAAAAACUGGAACAAUACAGAGUAGAUUAGCAUGGCCCCUGUGCAUGGAUGACACGCAAAUUCAUGAAGUGUUCCAUAUUAAA